This 1927-nucleotide ribosomal RNA is filed under the name Salmonella enterica subsp. enterica. RNAcentral describes it as "partial 23S ribosomal RNA". It matches the Rfam family "Bacterial large subunit ribosomal RNA", at positions 994 to 2899 of the family's 2925-position model. Lineage: Bacteria; Pseudomonadati; Pseudomonadota; Gammaproteobacteria; Enterobacterales; Enterobacteriaceae. The record is from RNAcentral.
GGUGCUAACGUCCGUCGUGAAGAGGGAAACAACCCAGACCGCCAGCUAAGGUCCCAAAGUCAUGGUUAAGUGGGAAACGAUGUGGGAAGGCCCAGACAGCCAGGAUGUUGGCUUAGAAGCAGCCAUCAUUUAAAGAAAGCGUAAUAGCUCACUGGUCGAGUCGGCCUGCGCGGAAGAUGUAACGGGGCUAAACCAUGCACCGAAGCUGCGGCAGCGACACUGUGUGUUGUUGGGUAGGGGAGCGUUCUGUAAGCCUGUGAAGGUGUGUCGUGAGGCAUGCUGGAGGUAUCAGAAGUGCGAAUGCUGACAUAAGUAACGAUAAAGCGGGUGAAAAGCCCGCUCGCCGGAAGACCAAGGGUUCCUGUCCAACGUUAAUCGGGGCAGGGUGAGUCGACCCCUAAGGCGAGGCCGAAAGGCGUAGUCGAUGGGAAACGGGUUAAUAUUCCCGUACUUGGUGUUACUGCGAAGGGGGGACGGAGAAGGCUAUGUUGGCCGGGCGACGGUUGUCCCGGUUUAAGCGUGUAGGUGUGUGUUCCAGGUAAAUCCGGUUCACUUUAACACUGAGGCGUGACGACGAGGCACUACGGUGCUGAAGCAACAAAUGCCCUGCUUCCAGGAAAAGCCUCUAAGCAUCAGGUAACAUCAAAUCGUACCCCAAACCGACACAGGUGGUCAGGUAGAGAAUACCAAGGCGCUUGAGAGAACUCGGGUGAAGGAACUAGGCAAAAUGGUGCCGUAACUUCGGGAGAAGGCACGCUGACACGUAGGUGAAGUGAUUUACUCAUGGAGCUGAAGUCAGUCGAAGAUACCAGCUGGCUGCAACUGUUUAUUAAAAACACAGCACUGUGCAAACACGAAAGUGGACGUAUACGGUGUGACGCCUGCCCGGUGCCGGAAGGUUAAUUGAUGGGGUCAGCGCAAGCGAAGCUCCUGAUCGAAGCCCCGGUAAACGGCGGCCGUAACUAUAACGGUCCUAAGGUAGCGAAAUUCCUUGUCGGGUAAGUUCCGACCUGCACGAAUGGCGUAAUGAUGGCCAGGCUGUCUCCACCCGAGACUCAGUGAAAUUGAACUCGCUGUGAAGAUGCAGUGUACCCGCGGCAAGACGGAAAGACCCCGUGAACCUUUACUAUAGCUUGACACUGAACAUUGAGCCUUGAUGUGUAGGAUAGGUGGGAGGCUUUGAAGUGUGGACGCCAGUCUGCAUGGAGCCGACCUUGAAAUACCACCCUUUAAUGUUUGAUGUUCUAACGUGGACCCGUAAUCCGGGUUGCGGACAGUGUCUGGUGGGUAGUUUGACUGGGGCGGUCUCCUCCUAAAGAGUAACGGAGGAGCACGAAGGUUGGCUAAUCCUGGUCGGACAUCAGGAGGUUAGUGCAAUGGCAUAAGCCAGCUUGACUGCGAGCGUGACGGCGCGAGCAGGUGCGAAAGCAGGUCAUAGUGAUCCGGUGGUUCUGAAUGGAAGGGCCAUCGCUCAACGGAUAAAAGGUACUCCGGGGAUAACAGGCUGAUACCGCCCAAGAGUUCAUAUCGACGGCGGUGUUUGGCACCUCGAUGUCGGCUCAUCACAUCCUGGGGCUGAAGUAGGUCCCAAGGGUAUGGCUGUUCGCCAUUUAAAGUGGUACGCGAGCUGGGUUUAGAACGUCGUGAGACAGUUCGGUCCCUAUCUGCCGUGGGCGCUGGAGAACUGAGGGGGGCUGCUCCUAGUACGAGAGGACCGGAGUGGACGCAUCACUGGUGUUCGGGUUGUCAUGCCAAUGGCACUGCCCGGUAGCUAAAUGCGGAAGAGAUAAGUGCUGAAAGCAUCUAAGCACGAAACUUGCCCCGAGAUGAGUUCUCCCUGAGACUUUAGGUCUCCUGAAGGAACGUUGAAGACGACGACGUUGAUAGGCCGGGUGUGUAAGCGCAGCGAUGCGUUGAGCUAACCGGU